This 221-nucleotide long non-coding RNA is filed under the name Ananas comosus (pineapple). RNAcentral's name for it is "long non-coding RNA (ACOM_LNC031360)". The record is from RNAcentral. Lineage: Eukaryota; Viridiplantae; Streptophyta; Magnoliopsida; Poales; Bromeliaceae.
GCAACCACGAGCGCCCUUUUUUUGGGCGAAUCACAUUCGCGAAUCGCGAAUAAUUCGCGAAAAAUUAUUUUUGACAAAAAAAACACAUUUUUUUCUAAAUUUUUCGGAAAAAUCCUAAUACGACUGUUUAAUUCGUUUCUUCAAAAAUUCGCGAAUUAUUCGCGAAUUAACUAACCAUGUUCACCACAACCACCACCACUACCACCCCGAGGCUCCUCUCC